GGAAGGAAUGAGCUGGUCAUGUUGAUGUCAUCUUCAAGGCUGAAGAUUGAAACACCGCUGCUGCUAAUUUCACAGUGGCGUGCACCCUGGAUCCAUGACUUGGGAUUGAACUACCCAACGUCACCAUAUGGAAUGCUCUGCAAAGAGGACCUUGUCCAAUUUUCAUUUUAUAUUUAGAAGAUGUGGUCACCGCAGCUGAAAUGGAGCAGUUCCUUCUGGGUUCUUCCUAGAGAACCAAAGUUGUACAUCAGCAACGUAAAUUGAUUUCCUCUUCAAGAAGAAUAAGAGCAAGAUAACUUCCUUUGAAUUGAAGUGAAAUUCUCUGUUAUGAAUGGCUAUGUACACAAGACUUGCAGAAAACUGUUUCUCAGCAUCUCCAUCAGCACAGAAAUUACCACAGGGACGUGUUCUCUAAGCGUCUGUUAGGGUGGCACCUUCCCAUUGUCCAGCAGAGGAGAAAAGAAAGACUGCCUUGUGGUUAUUAUACAUGGUAUAAUGGAAACGUCUUUGCACAUGUAUUUUUGCUCACGAAAUUGCUGGGCCCAGCAGAAAACUAAAUUUUUUUAUGCUUUUCUUAAGUAAUGAUAAAUCAAUAGAUUUAUUCAGCUUAGCUUCUCUGUGCUCACAGCUCAUGGUAAAUCAUGGAGGUGGUAGACAGGGCCACACUUAUUUCCUUUGUGUAGUCUCCUUCCAUCUCCCAGCUUUUCUGCCGGUUCAGGUGACCUCACUCCAUAGGCUAGCUUUGUUAUUCAUGGGUAAACUAGCUUUGCAAGUGCUCUCCACUAGUCUUUGAUUCACCAAUUCCCCACAUCACUGAUUUUGUAUCUGACCUGACUCUACUGGCUGUCUCUUUCAUCACAUUGUAAUUUGUCAAUCAAUUUUAUCGACCAGUGUGUUUUAUUUUAAAAAUUCUUUUAGGCUAUACUGAUGAGAGAAGACAGAAGCUGAUAAUGUUGCAAUCAUCUGAAUUCAUGGAGGAAUUUGGAUUGAUACUGCUGGAUGUGGCAGCUUCUGUGAGCAUCGGGGACAUCUCUUGCAGAUGGUAAAAUCUUCUCAUGCUUUCACAGGCAGAUCUAUUCUAUUGUACAUGGGAAAGAAACCACUGGAGCAUGCAAUUUUGACUAGCAUAGUCACAGAAUUCCCAGAAUAGUAACUAAAGGAAUAAAAGCAGAGGUUAAAAAUGACAUUAAGAGCAGCAAAUAUAAUGCAAUGCUCCUUAUAAACAUGUAGUAGAUACUCGUUAACAGAUUAAGAGACAAAGAAGGUACCAAAAUGUGACUUGGUGCCCACCUUCAGAAAAUGCAGUCACUGACCAGCUGCAGAUACUCAGGAUGCAAGACUUCACCAUCCCCUGCCCCAGGUGAUGGGGAGAACUUGAACGAGGCAAGUGUCACUUAAAAGAGAAAGCUUCUUGGAGCACCUUGGUGGUGCAGUCUGC
Lontra canadensis (Northern American river otter) is the source of this 1438-nucleotide long non-coding RNA. RefSeq lists it as uncharacterized. NCBI's taxonomy places the organism in Eukaryota, Metazoa, Chordata, Mammalia, Carnivora, Mustelidae. The transcript has 3 exons. The record is from RefSeq and is a predicted model, not a curated record.